RNAcentral lists this non-coding RNA (24 nucleotides) under Rattus norvegicus (Norway rat). The record is from RNAcentral. Lineage: Eukaryota; Metazoa; Chordata; Mammalia; Rodentia; Muridae.
GACAAGAUGGAGGACUGCAGUGGA